CAUCUGCAAACUUGUUGAGGGUGCAAUUAAUCCCAUCAUCCAGAUCAUUAAUAAAGACGUUGAACAAAACCGGCCCCAGGACUGACCCCUGGGGCACUCUGCUUGAUACCAGCUGCCAACUAGUCAUUAAGCCGUUGAUCACUGCCCGUUGAGCCUGAUGAUCUAGCCAGCUUUCUAUC
Molecule: long non-coding RNA, 179 nt
Organism: Chelonia mydas (Green sea turtle)
Lineage: Eukaryota; Metazoa; Chordata; Testudines; Cheloniidae
Exons: 3
Source: RefSeq, a predicted model, not a curated record